This 377-nucleotide unclassified non-coding RNA is filed under the name uncultured Glomus. Its description in RNAcentral is "SSU rRNA". It matches the Rfam family "Eukaryotic small subunit ribosomal RNA", at positions 569 to 953 of the family's 1831-position model. The record is from RNAcentral. Lineage: Eukaryota; Fungi; Glomeromycota; Glomeromycetes; Glomerales; Glomeraceae.
AGCAGCCGCGGUAAUUCCAGCUCCAAUAGCGUAUAUUAAAGUUGUUGCAGUUAAAAGCUCGUAGUUGAAUUUCGGGAUCAAUUUAUCGGUCGUGCCAAUGGUAUGAACUGGUACAAUUGGUUUCUCCCUUCUGAAGAACCAUGAUGUCAUUAACUUGGUGUUGUGGGGAAUCAGGACUGUUACUUUGAAAAAUUAGAGUGUUUAAAGCAGGCUUAGACUUGAAUACAUUAGCAUGGAAUAAUGAAAUAGGACGCUUGAUCCUAUUUCGUUGGUUUUAGGAUCGACGUAAUGAUUAAUAGGGAUAGUUGGGGGCAUUAGUAUUCAAUUGUCAGAGGUGAAAUUCUUGGAUUUAUUGAAGACUAACUACUGCGAAAGCA